This 451-nucleotide ribosomal RNA is filed under the name uncultured bacterium. RNAcentral describes it as "bacterial SSU rRNA". It matches the Rfam family "Bacterial small subunit ribosomal RNA", at positions 340 to 786 of the family's 1533-position model. The record is from RNAcentral.
UACGGGAGGCAGCAGUGGGGAAUAUUGCACAAUGGGCGCAAGCCUGAUGCAGCCAUGCCGCGUGUAUGAAGAAGGCCUUCGGGUUGUAAAGUACUUUCAGUCGUGAGGAAGGUGUUAAGGUUAAUAACCUUAGCAAUUGACGUUAGCGACAGAAGAAGCACCGGCUAACUCCGUGCCAGCAGCCGCGGUAAUACGGAGGGUGCGAGCGUUAAUCGGAAUUACUGGGCGUAAAGGGCACGCAGGCGGUUAAUUAAGUUGGAUGUGAAUCCCCGGGCUUAACCUGGGAAUGGCAUUCAAGACUGGUUAGCUAGAGUCUUGUAGAGGGGGUAGAAUUCCAUGUGUAGCGGUGAAAUGCGUAGAGAUGUGGAGGAAUACCGGUGGCGAAGGCGGCCCCUGGACAAAGACUGACGCUCAUGUGCGAAAGCGUGGGGAGCAAACAGGAUUAGAUACC